CAAAGACACCCUCAAGACCAAAGUCAUUCUUGCUCAGAAGGAAGGUGAGAUGGAGAUUGCUUAUCUUCACAAAGUAGAGGGUAGACUCUCCUAGCCAAGGAGAAGUGCAACCAAGCAGAAGGAUGAGCAGUCCGAUCCAAGAAGAAAGCUGCCCAAGCCAAGGACAAAGAUACUCAGGCUGAAAAAAGGAUGAUAGGAGUAGAGGUUGGAACUACUAAGGUCUUGGAGAGGGUUUUCCUUACUAAUAAGAAAGUGACCCA
This 260-nucleotide long non-coding RNA is filed under the name Elaeis guineensis (African oil palm). RNAcentral describes it as "long non-coding RNA (EGUI_LNC043390)". Lineage: Eukaryota; Viridiplantae; Streptophyta; Magnoliopsida; Arecales; Arecaceae. The record is from RNAcentral.